Molecule: unclassified non-coding RNA, 359 nt
Filed under: soil metagenome
Description: partial contains 5.8S ribosomal RNA, internal transcribed spacer 2, and large subunit ribosomal RNA
Rfam family: 5.8S ribosomal RNA (bases 1-120)
Source: RNAcentral
GAUGAAGAACGUAGUGAAAUGCGAUAAGUAAUGCGAAUUGCAGAAUUCAGUGAAUCAUCGAAUCUUUGAACGCACAUUGCGCCCGCCAGUAUUCUGGCGGGCAUGCCUGUCUGAGCGUCGUUUCGACCCUCGCGCCCGGCUUCUGUCGGGGGCGGUGUUGGGGAUCGGCCACACCCUUCAGUGGGAGGCCGGCCCCUAAAUUCAGUGGCGACCACGCUGUAGCCUCCCCUGCGUAGUACUAAAACCACCUCGCAGGCGGAGAGCGGUGCGGCCCGCCGUAAAACCCCCCAACUUUUACAAGGUCGACCUCAGAUCAGGUAGGAAUACCCGCUGAACUUAAGCAUAUCAAUAAGCGGGGA